CUGCUAAUUUUAAACGAACCAACAAUGGACCGGAGUCAUUCCAUGCACAUUUUAAUGAACAAUUUUAUUCAAAACAUCCAAACAUGUUUAUUUAUGUUGACGUUGUAAAGAAGAUUCAGGCUACAACAUACAUCAAAAUCCGAUCUAUGGACACACCGGCUGCAGUUCGACGAUGGGAGAAAGAGAAAACUGACUAUCUUAUGGAGAAACAUGGCAUGUACCUAAGAGAGGAAAUUUCAAGGCAUGACUACAUCAAGACCGUUGCAUAUAAAUUUUGUGCCAGAAC
RNAcentral lists this long non-coding RNA (286 nucleotides) under Mytilus galloprovincialis (Mediterranean mussel). Lineage: Eukaryota; Metazoa; Mollusca; Bivalvia; Mytilida; Mytilidae. The record is from RNAcentral.